RNAcentral lists this long non-coding RNA (1196 nucleotides) under Canis lupus familiaris (dog). RNAcentral describes it as "lncRNA (ENSCAFG00845014324.1)". The record is from RNAcentral. Lineage: Eukaryota; Metazoa; Chordata; Mammalia; Carnivora; Canidae.
CACUCACUGAGCGGGGCCUGCAGGCCAGAGCGGAGGGAGGCCAGCCGGAAGCCGCUGUGGGCAGUGCUUAUUGGGAUGGGGGUUGCAGAGGAAAUCCUGGGGUGCGUGUCCAGAGGGAGCCUGGUCAUCUGCAUUGCAUCCCAGAGUCGGCCUCUCCCAGCAUCUCUCCGACUCCUCUCCUUCCUCCCAGGAUCCUCCCCGCACCCCCCCACCCCGACCUCCGCCCUCCAUCCUCCGCCCUCCACCCUCCCCCGCUGAUUCGGGUGCUCACACUCUCAGGCACCUGCUGUGGCUCACUCCCCUCCACUAAGGGCCAGGCCAGGGCUGAAGAUCAGGCUGUUCUGGUCCCACCCAGCUCCCUUCUCUCCCUGCCAAAAAUAGCCCUGGGGUCAGCUCUCAUGCUCCACCAAAUAUAGCCAUCUGGCCUGCCUGCCCUGCCCCCAAGUGCCUGCCAGCCUCAGGCAGGGUGCAGAGGGGGGAAGGUCAGGGAUUGGGCAGAGCAAGAAGGGAAGAGCCUCUUGCCAGGCUCCUGGGGCUGGGGGCCUCAGGGGCUCUUUAGGAUGAGCCACCCCCACCCCUCACCCAGGCCUUCCUGGCACUCCCACCUGGAUGGCUGACAGGGACGAAGCGUGGCCCUCUAUGCCACGCCUACCCUGGGCAGCUCCUGGUCUGUCAGAUGCACAGGGACAGACCUCCUGGGGCCCCAGAAAGCCCUUCUUCCCAAGACUGCCCCCCACCCACCCUGGGUCCCUGCUUUCCCCAGCGCCUCCACACACUUACUAGGCAGACUAGGCAGACUGGGGCAGACCCCCAGAGCUGCCAGGAGGGAUGGUGGUGGACACUCGAGUCCCUCCAGUAGGCAGUUCUGGAUGGUGGCUGGAGCGGUUGCGGGGGGUGGUCUCUGGGAGCACAGAAGGUGGGGGCAGGGUGAAAGGGUGAAAGGGUAGGGCUGGGCUUCUCAGAACUUGUCCUUGCGUGGGUCCUGGUGGGGGCAGGGCUUCAGAGCAGACCCCAGAGGGUAGCCAGGAGUAUGGGGGCCAGGGCCAGGGUUCCGGGGAUGGCGAGGCCAGCGCCGUUACAGAGGUCGUACUGGCAGCAGGAGGUGGUAGAGGCGUGCUUGGAGUAACCAUCGUACACGGUCUCGAAGCAGCUGGGCACGCAGGACUUGCUCACCUUCAUCCUGGUCGGGGUGUAGU